UACGUAGGGUGCAAGCGUUGUCCGGAAUUAUUGGGCGUAAAGAGCUUGUAGGCGGUUUGUCGCGUCUGCUGUGAAAUUUCGGGGCUCAACCCCGAACUUGCAGUGGGUACGGGCAGACUAGAGUGUGGUAGGGGAGACUGGAAUUCCUGGUGUAGCGGUGAAAUGCGCAGAUAUCAGGAGGAACACCGAUGGCGAAGGCGGGUCUCUGGGCCACUACUGACGCUGAGAAGCGAAAGCAUGGGGAGCGAACAGG
Molecule: ribosomal RNA, 253 nt
Filed under: uncultured bacterium
Lineage: Bacteria
Description: partial 16S ribosomal RNA
Rfam family: Bacterial small subunit ribosomal RNA
Source: RNAcentral